Molecule: ribosomal RNA, 243 nt
Filed under: Cordulephya pygmaea
Lineage: Eukaryota; Metazoa; Arthropoda; Insecta; Odonata; Corduliidae
Description: partial 28S ribosomal RNA
Source: RNAcentral
CAGUAGAACGUCGCGACCCGUCGGGCGCCGGCCUAAGGUCCCGGGUGGAGUCUGCGCAGUUCGNCUGCGCACGACCCCGGGGAUCCCGGCCGGGUGCUCGACGGUACGAAGAGAGGAAGGAGUCGACGCGCCGCCUAGUCGGCGUCCGGCCCUCCGCAAGCGCCCGCGGGAGUCCGAGAUUCCGGGCCUGGCCCGGUCUCGGUCCCUCCGCGGGGCUGUUUGCGACAAGGAGAAUCCUCGGAC